GAUUUCUGGUACGGCGCACUUGGCCCGUCGCGGUUACGCGUAUGUGUGCCGGUGUGCGCCUGCCAUCCAUCUGGAGAACGCCGUCGCCCUUCACUGGGUGGGCGGUGGUAUCCAGAUCUUUUACUUUGAAAAAAUUAGAGUGUUUAAAGCAGGCUUGCGCCUUGAAUACAUUAGCAUGGAAUAAUAAUUUAGGACUUUGUCUCCUAUUUUGUUGGUUUUAAGGGAUGAAGUAAUGAUUGAUAGGGAUAGUUGGGGGUGCUAGUAUUCAUCGGCCAGAGGUGAAAUUCUUGGAUUCGAUGAAGACUAACUUAUGCGAAAGCAUU
This 323-nucleotide ribosomal RNA is filed under the name Cercomonas sp. RNAcentral describes it as "SSU rRNA". The stretch from base 87 to 323 matches the Rfam family "Eukaryotic small subunit ribosomal RNA", at positions 718 to 955 of the family's 1831-position model. The record is from RNAcentral. Lineage: Eukaryota; Cercozoa; Cercomonadida; Cercomonadidae.